UGGGGAAUUUUGGACAAUGGGGGAAACCCUGAUCCAGCCAUCCCGCGUGUGCGAUGAAGGCCUUCGGGUUGUAAAGCACUUUUGGCAGGAAAGAAACGUGAUGGGUUAAUACCCCGUGAAACUGACGGUACCUGCAGAAUAAGAACCGGCUAACUACGUGCCAGCAGCCGCGGUAAUACGAAGGGUGCAAGGGUUAAUCGGAAUUACGGGGCAUAAAGCGGGCGCAGGCGGUUCGGAAAGAAAGAUGUGAAAUCCCAGAGCUCAACUUUGGACCUGCAGUUUUAGCUACCGGGCUAGGGGGGGUAAGAGGGAGGUGGAAUUCCUCGUGUAGCAGUGAAAUGCGUAGAUAUGGGGAGGAACACCGAUGGCGAAGGCAGCCUCCUUGGAUAACACUGACGCUCAUGCACGAAAGGGUGGGGAGCAAACAGG
This 429-nucleotide ribosomal RNA is filed under the name Acidobacteriota bacterium. RNAcentral describes it as "Acidobacteria bacterium partial 16S ribosomal RNA". It matches the Rfam family "Bacterial small subunit ribosomal RNA", at positions 355 to 776 of the family's 1533-position model. The record is from RNAcentral. Lineage: Bacteria; Pseudomonadati; Acidobacteriota.